UCUCGGUUUACACCGGCAGUUUCGCUAGAGUUCCCGGCUUUACCCGCUGGCAACUAACGAUAAGGGUUGCGCUCGUUAUGGGACUUAACCCGACACCUCACGGCACGAGCUGACGACAACCAUGCAGCACCUUGUAAAGAGUUCCGAAGAAAAUCCCGAUUUCUCGGGAAUGCACUCUACAUUUAAGCCCAGGUAAGGUUCCUCGCGUAUCAUCGAAUUAAACCACAUGUUCCUCCGCUUGUGCGGGCCCCCGUCAAUUCCUUUGAGUUUCAGCCUUGCGGCCGUACUCCCCAGGUGGAUCACUUAAUGCUUUUGCUUUGCCGCUGAUCGGUGUAUCGCCAACAGCUAGUGAUCAUCGUUUACGGCGUGGACUAC
This 375-nucleotide unclassified non-coding RNA is filed under the name uncultured Bacteroidales bacterium. Its description in RNAcentral is "contains 16S-23S intergenic spacer region". The record is from RNAcentral. Lineage: Bacteria; Pseudomonadati; Bacteroidota; Bacteroidia; Bacteroidales.